Long non-coding RNA from Apus apus (common swift), 2177 nucleotides. RefSeq lists it as uncharacterized. The transcript has 5 exons. The record is from RefSeq and is a predicted model, not a curated record. Lineage: Eukaryota; Metazoa; Chordata; Aves; Apodiformes; Apodidae.
CAACCCCCUCCUCCCGCCCCGCCAGCUGAGCCUGCCUGGCCUGGCGCUGCCUUCCCUACCUGGGGCGGGGGGCUGCGCGCCCCGGCGGGCAGGGGCCUCCCGCCCGGCACCUGGGCUGCGGGGCGGCUCUGCGCGCCCUUCUCUCCGGCGCCUCCGCCGCGCUGGUGGCGGCUCCCAGCGGUAAAUCAGCCGGUCCCCUCGGCUCCCUCCGCCCCUCCGGCGCGGUCCUGACCUGCCUGUGACUCACCACAUCGCAGGAGCCCGGGAGCUAGUAACAUUGCUGUGUAACAUGCAAAGAGAAGAUAUGUUUAACAUCCCAGCAAGAGCUUAGCUGUCUCUCAUGAUAACAUACUGAAGAACAUCUCAAACACCUGCUAUCUUAAUCUUCCCCUAAAACCACUGCUGAGAAGUGCUAUUAGCUUCAUUUUCCUGAUGAGGGACUGAGGAACAGAGAAAACCACCAUCUUGUCUAAGUGUAAAGCACAGAUACCUCUUUCGUGGAUGGGAAGCAGACUCUGUGACUUCUGCAGGGAUUCAGAACUGGUUCUGCCUCUCCUGAUGCCCCUGCCCUGUCUCAGAGCUGAGCAUCACUACUCUGGACACUUAGGGGAUAUGAUCUCAUCUGAAUUCAGCAACCUUCACAAGCCUCCGUAGGCGCCCCAGCACUAAACACCCAGGAACAUGACAGAUGCCUCACAGGAAGCUGGCUCCUCAUCUUUGCACAAUAGUUUCUGCCUUUUCUUAGGGUAAUAAUUUUUCAUUGUCAGGUUUUGGAGACACAGGAGAUGUUUCAAUUACUUCCCCAAAUUUUUCAAACCCGAGGUGAUAAAUAUCACAAUGUCAUUUAGAUAUUUUAAUAGAAAAUUAAUAUUUCAGGGUGUGAUACUAAGAAAACUAUGACACUGCCACCUCGUGGAUUCUGAGAUAAUAUCUAAAUCAUAUUUUGCCAUCAUUAUUUACAUAGUGACAUAAACAUGCGUCGUACUUCUUGGCCAAAUAAUAGUUCCUUUCUUACCCACAGAGUUUAGCAUAGCAUCUAGAUUAUUCUAAAUAUUUAGGCUUCUAAUGAUAUAGAUCAACAUCUUACUAUGAUUUAUGUAAGCAACUAUGUAAGUGAAAUUCCUGACACUUCCUUUCUGCUUGAAAGUUAGAAGGCAUUUUCUCACAUAAGCUGUGCUUUUAAAGCAAUAGUAGUUUAAACUUGCCACUUUCUCAGUUCUUCUGUACCAUCUGCAAAAGCGAGUGAUAAUACUGAGAUGUAGUGAUUCUUGCUAAUUGUGCCUCAGAUUACAUUCUUCUAAAAAUUGUUGAAGGCUGUUAAUUGAAGGAUUCAGAGACUUCUCCAUGUGGAAUUGCUUAUUGUGAUCUAAACUGAAUUUAAUAAUUCACCUCUGAAGAAGUCUGGGGUAUAUGUGCAUCAGAGGAAUCCUUUACCUCUGGUAUUCUGGUGUAUAACUAACAUGGACUGAGAAGAGCUCUGUUCUAUUGGACCAAAUGAAUCAAGAAAAAGGGAAAAAAACCAAAGCAAUCUCUUUUUCUGAAGGAUCAGAACCGUUCCCUUCAGCGUUCAUCAGUGACUGCCUAAUGAAUCAAGGCAUGAGGAAAAAAAAAAGACAUAUUAUGGCAACUUCAUUGCUGUCCAUGCUUUUUAUCAAGAACUGCACCAUGACACCCAAGUCCCACACAUGUGGGAGCCAAUAUCUGAAGCAGAUCCUCAUGUAAAACACUGGUGCAGCUUGAUGUGCAGCAUGAUUCCAUUCUGGGACCAAACUGUUGGCAGCUGUAAUAAACCUGGGAUAUCAAUAUUUGUAUCAAGACAGACCAUCCCUGUAGGGGAAUGAAAAAUAGGAAUUCUGCAUAUUUACAAGUCAGCUAUGAAGACAUUUGUGAGAGAAAAGCUGUUGUGCUGUACAAAGACGUAACAAAAGGUAGGGGAAGGGCGUUAGACCAUGUACAUAAACAAUGCCUGAAGACUGCUUUAGUACAAGAAUGGAAAAACAGAAACAACAUCACUUGCAUGAACUCCAUUAUGGUUCAUAUUUAAGGCUAGACAGUGAUUCAUACUGUUUCACUAGACUCAGCAUGCUGCAAAAGGCACUUGAAAUAAUUAACACUUAGAAUUAAACUGCUCAGAUUUCACAUCAUCAAACAUUAAACUUUCUGUAAUUCCCUCUGCA